GCUCACUUAGGCAGCACGUAUACUAAAAAUGGAACAAUACAGAAAAGAUUAGCAUGGCCCCAGCCAAAGGAUGACACACAAAUUUGUGAAGUGUUCCAUGUUUUU
Camelus ferus (Wild Bactrian camel) is the source of this 105-nucleotide non-coding RNA. Lineage: Eukaryota; Metazoa; Chordata; Mammalia; Artiodactyla; Camelidae. The record is from Rfam.